Molecule: long non-coding RNA, 260 nt
Organism: Vombatus ursinus (common wombat)
Lineage: Eukaryota; Metazoa; Chordata; Mammalia; Diprotodontia; Vombatidae
Exons: 3
Source: RefSeq, a predicted model, not a curated record
CAAUUGUUCUAUGGCUUCCUGGAACCCUGGUUGGGGGAUGGGCUGCUGCUGAGUAAAGGAGACAAAUGGAGCCGGCACCGGCGCAUGCUGACCCCAGCUUUUCACUUUGACAUCCUUAAACCUUAUGUGAAGAUCUUCAGCCAGAGUGCAGACAUCAUGCAUACAAAAUGGAGGCGCCUCUGUGCUGAGGGCAGCAAUUACCUGGACAUGUUUGAACACAUCAGCCUCAUGACCCUGGACAGCCUGCAGAAAUGCAUCUU